AUAUUGAAUUUUUCGGUAAAUGGUCUAUAUACUAAAGCCUAUAAUCUUUAGUGUUGUUUUAUUAUUUCUAAACACAUUCCAAAUUUGUAUUAAUGUAUAAUAAACUCUCUUUCAUAUUACAUUGACAUCGUUUUAAAUUUUGUCAAUUAAUUUAGUAAAACUUAAUAAUAUUCUCUAAAUUGGUGGACUAACCACUAUAAAAUCGCUAUUUUCUAGAGAAACGGAGACAACAAAAGUUCCAAACCUCUUUGACCUUCAUCAUAUGUUAGUGAAUGAUGCAAAUGCGCAUUAAAACAUUAUUUUAAUAUUUUUGAAUUUUUUUCAAAAUCUAUUUUUUAACCCCUACGAAAAUAUUAAGAUUUCCAUUAAAUAUUCUAUAUACGGAAGCCUAUGAUCUUCAGUGUUGUUUUAAACUUUUUAAACACAUUUUACAUUUGAAUUAAUGUAUAUUAAACUCUCUUUCAAGGUACAUGGAUAUUAUUUUAAUUUUUUUUGUCAAUUAAUUUAGUAAAACGUCAUGAUACUCGUUAAAUUGGUGAACUAACCACUAUAAAAUCACUAUU
Brassica rapa (field mustard) is the source of this 563-nucleotide long non-coding RNA. RefSeq lists it as uncharacterized. NCBI's taxonomy places the organism in Eukaryota, Viridiplantae, Streptophyta, Magnoliopsida, Brassicales, Brassicaceae. The record is from RefSeq and is a predicted model, not a curated record.